RNAcentral lists this ribosomal RNA (571 nucleotides) under bacterium SL1.25. RNAcentral's name for it is "bacterial SSU rRNA". It matches the Rfam family "Bacterial small subunit ribosomal RNA", at positions 70 to 639 of the family's 1533-position model. The record is from RNAcentral.
AGUCGAGGAGUAAUCUAAGACCUAGAGCGGCGCACGGGUGCGUAACGCGUAUGCAACCUACCUCAUACAGGGGGAUAGCCCGGAGAAAUCUGGAUUAAUACCCCAUGGUACUAUGAAGCGGCAUUGUUUUAUAGUUAAAGAUUCAUCGGUAUGAGAUGGGCAUGCGUCUGAUUAGCUAGUUGGCGGUGUAACGGACCACCAAGGCGACGAUCAGUAGGGGUUCUGAGAGGAAGGUCCCCCACACUGGCACUGAGAUACGGGCCAGACUCCUACGGGAGGCAGCAGUAGGGAAUAUUGGGCAAUGGACGAGAGUCUGACCCAGCCAUGCCGCGUGCAGGAAGACGGCGUUCUGCGUUGUAAACUGCUUUUAUCUGGGAAGAAAAGGCCCAUGCGUGGGACAUUGCCGGUACCAGAUGAAUAAGCACCGGCUAACUCCGUGCCAGCAGCCGCGGUAAUACGGAGGGUGCAAGCGUUGUCCGGAUUUAUUGGGUUUAAAGGGUGCGUAGGCGGCUAUUUAAGUCAGCGGUGAAAGACAUCGGCUCAACCGAUGCAGUGCCAUUGAUACUGGAUA